AUAAUGGGUCAGCGACUUAUAUUCUGUAGCAAGGUUAACCGAAUAGGGGAGCCGAAGGGAAACCGAGUCUUAACUGGGCGUUAAGUUGCAGGGUAUAGACCCGAAACCCGGUGAUCUAGCCAUGGGCAGGUUGAAGGUUGGGUAACACUAACUGGAGGACCGAACCGACUAAUGUUGAAAAAUUAGCGGAUGACUUGUGGCUGGGGGUGAAAGGCCAAUCAAACCGGGAGAUAGCUGGUUCUCCCCGAAAGCUAUUUAGGUAGCGCCUCGUGAAUUCAUCUCCGGGGGUAGAGCACUGUUUCGGCAAGGGGGUCAUCCCGACUUACCAACCCGAUGCAAACUGCGAAUACCGGAGAAUGUUAUCACGGGAGACACACGGCGGGUGCUAACGUCCGUCGUGAAGAGGGAAACAACCCAGACCGCCAGCUAAGGUCCCAAAGUCAUGGUUAAGUGGGAAACGAUGUGGGAAGGCCCAGACAGCCAGGAUGUUGGCUUAGAAGCAGCCAUCAUUUAAAGAAAGCGUAAUAGCUCACUGGUCGAGUCGGCCUGCGCGGAAGAUGUAACGGGGCUAAACCAUGCACCGAAGCUGCGGCAGCGACGCUGAUGCGUUGUUGGGUAGGGGAGCGUUCUGUAAGCCUGUGAAGGUGUGCUGUGAGGCAUGCUGGAGGUAUCAGAAGUGCGAAUGCUGACAUAAGUAACGAUAAAGCGGGUGAAAAGCCCGCUCGCCGGAAGACCAAGGGUUCCUGUCCAACGUUAAUCGGGGCAGGGUGAGUCGACCCCUAAGGCGAGGCCGAAAGGCGUAGUCGAUGGGAAACAGGUUAAUAUUCCUGUACUUGGUGUUACUGCGAAGGGGGGACGGAGAAGGCUAUGUUGGCCGGGCGACGGUUGUCCCGGUUUAAGCGUGUAGGCUGGUUUUCCAGGCAAAUCCGGAAAAUCAAGGCUGAGGCGUGAUGACGAGGCACUACGGUGCUGAAGCAACAAAUGCCCUGCUUCCAGGAAAAGCCUCUAAGCAUCAGGUAACAUCAAAUCGUACCCCAAACCGACACAGGUGGUCAGGUAGAGAAUACCAAGGCGCUUGAGAGAACUCGGGUGAAGGAACUAGGCAAAAUGGUGCCGUAACUUCGGGAGAAGGCACGCUGAUAUGUAGGUGAAGUCCCUCGCGGAUGGAGCUGAAAUCAGUCGAAGAUACCAGCUGGCUGCAACUGUUUAUUAAAAACACAGCACUGUGCAAACACGAAAGUGGACGUAUACGGUGUGACGCCUGCCCGGUGCCGGAAGGUUAAUUGAUGGGGUCAGCGCAAGCGAAGCUCUUGAUCGAAGCCCCGGUAAACGGCGGCCGUAACUAUAACGGUCCUAAGGUAGCGAAAUUCCUUGUCGGGUAAGUUCCGACCUGCACGAAUGGCGUAAUGAUGGCCAGGCUGUCUCCACCCGAGACUCAGUGAAAUUGAACUCGCUGUGAAGAUGCAGUGUACCCGCGGCAAGACGGAAAGACCCCGUGAACCUUUACUAUAGCUUGACACUGAACAUUGAGCCUUGAUGUGUAGGAUAGGUGGGAGGCUUUGAAGUGUGGACGCCAGUCUGCAUGGAGCCGGCCUUGAAAUACCACCCUUUAAUGUUUGAUGUUCUAACGUUGACCCGUGAUCCGGGUUGCGGACAGUGUCUGGUGGGUAGUUUGACUGGGGCGGUCUCCUCCUAAAGAGUAACGGAGGAGCACGAAGGUUGGCUAAUCCUGGUCGGACAUCAGGAGGUUAGUGCAAUGGCAUAAGCCAGCUUGACUGCGAGCGUGACGGCGCGAGCAGGUGCGAAAGCAGGUCAUAGUGAUCCGGUGGUUCUGAAUGGAAGGG
RNAcentral lists this ribosomal RNA (1844 nucleotides) under Escherichia coli. Its description in RNAcentral is "partial 23S ribosomal RNA". It matches the Rfam family "Bacterial large subunit ribosomal RNA", at positions 612 to 2441 of the family's 2925-position model. Lineage: Bacteria; Pseudomonadati; Pseudomonadota; Gammaproteobacteria; Enterobacterales; Enterobacteriaceae. The record is from RNAcentral.